This 460-nucleotide ribosomal RNA is filed under the name uncultured bacterium. RNAcentral describes it as "partial 16S ribosomal RNA". It matches the Rfam family "Bacterial small subunit ribosomal RNA", at positions 338 to 795 of the family's 1533-position model. The record is from RNAcentral.
CCUACGGGAGGCAGCAGUGAGGAAUAUUGGUCAAUGGACGCAAGUCUGAACCAGCCAUGCCGCGUGCAGGAAGACGGCUCUAUGAGUUGUAAACUGCUUUUGUACGAGGGUAAACGCAGAUACGCGUAUCUGUCUGAAAGUAUCGUACGAAUAAGGAUCGGCUCACUCCGUGCCAGCAGCCGCGGUAAUACGGAGGAUUCAAGCGUUAUCCGGAUUUAUUGGGUUUAAAGGGUGCGUAGGCGGUCGGAUAAGUUAGAGGUGAAAUCCCGAGGCUCAACUUCGGAAUUGCCUCUGAUACUGUCCGGCUAGAGAGUAGUUGCGGUAGGCGGAAUGUAUGGUGUAGCGGUGAAAUGCUUAGAGAUCAUACAGAACACCGAUUGCGAAGGCAGCUUACCAAGCUACUUCUGACGUUGAGGCACGAAAGCGUGGGGAGCAAACAGGAUUAGAUACCCUAGUAGUC